UCGGGAAUUUUGGGCAAUGGGCGAAAGCCUGACCCAGCAACGCCGCGUGAAGGAUGAAAUCUUUCGGGAUGUAAACUUCGGAAGAAUAGGAAGAAUAAAAUGACGGUACUAUUUUAAGGUCCGGCUAACUACGUGCCAGCAGCCGCGGUAAUACGUAGGGACCAAGCGUUGUUCGGAUUUACUGGGCGUAAAGGGCGCGUAGGCGGCGUAACAAGUCACUUGUGAAAUCUCCGGGCUUAACUCGGAGCGGCCAAGUGAUACUGUUAGGCUAGAGUGCAGAAAGGGCAAUCGGAAUUCUUGGUGUAGCGGUGAAAUGCGUAGAUAUCAAGAGGAACACCUGAGGUGAAGACGGGUUGCUGGGCUGACACUGACGCUGAGGCGCGAAAGCCAGGGGAGCAAACGGGAUUAGAUACCCCCGUAGUCCCUGAGCGGGCUGGCAAGGCGCAU
RNAcentral lists this ribosomal RNA (447 nucleotides) under uncultured bacterium. Its description in RNAcentral is "bacterial SSU rRNA". It matches the Rfam family "Bacterial small subunit ribosomal RNA", at positions 355 to 825 of the family's 1533-position model. The record is from RNAcentral.